RNAcentral lists this non-coding RNA (166 nucleotides) under uncultured Butyrivibrio sp. Its description in RNAcentral is "Lysine riboswitch". It matches the Rfam family "Lysine riboswitch aptamer". From Rfam's summary of the family: Riboswitches are metabolite binding domains within certain messenger RNAs that serve as precision sensors for their corresponding targets. The record is from RNAcentral. Lineage: Bacteria; Bacillati; Bacillota; Clostridia; Lachnospirales; Lachnospiraceae.
UGAAAGUAGAGGUUGCAUCAUUUAUCAGUAAGCUGUGGGAUGUUCAGGGCAGGUGAACAUGGACGAAAGGCAAUGAUGCCGAAGCGAAUCAAUUCCUGAGAUUGUUUUAGCUGGGAGUAUGGUUAAGAGCCAUGCUACUGUCAUCGCAAGAUGGAGGGCUACUAGA